GGAAGCCUCUGGUGUCAGACAAAAACAACAGUAGGCAAUAUUUAGUCAAAAGAAAUCAUGUUCAUGCUUUUUUCUUGUUUUCAGUCCUGAGGAUUGAACCCAGGUCCUUAUCCAUCCAAGGUAAGUACUCCACAACCCAAUUUUUUUUUUCUUUUUUGAAGGACUAAAUAUUGAAAGUUCUAUUUUAGUAAAGAAUGAAGGCCUUUGUGAAAGGAAUGAGCUCUCUUACUUUACUUUUCUACUAAUAAGCUAACAACUACUGUUCUUUCUAUUUAAAUGUGUAUAAGAUGCCAAAACUCAACCAAGAGCAGAGAAAGAAAAUAUCACGAGAAGACAUAGAUAAAAAUGCCUUAAACCCGUCUAAUUUCAUAAUCAACAGAAACAACUCCCUUAAGAAUAUUCUGUCUUUUGUUCCAGAUGGGCAUAUCAUUGUCCCAUAUCUUUCUUGACCCUAAUAUCUAUCCUAUGUACUCUGUUUAUGGAUCAUCCUUGUAUCUUCCUUCACAUUUAGUUUCUUAAUCUUAGAUUAUUUACUGGAUUUCCACCUUCAUAAGAUACCACCAUCUCUGCAGUAACUGUGGAUAUCAACUCAUUUUAGAUUUGGCCUUAAUGGUCACCUUCACUUACUCAGUCUUACUAUCUUCAAAUACUGACCCUGGGAAGACAAAUUCCUAAGUUUAGUUAGAUACAGCCAGCAAUUACCAUGAGACCUAGCCCUUUUCAUGGCCUCUGACUUUAUCUCUCUCCAUCUCCUCUCUGCCUGACUUUGCCACAACACAGGUGAAGACCAGAGGCAGAUAUGAUCCAUGCAAUUAAGAAUUAGAAUCUGAAGGGCUGAAGAGAAACAGGACAAUAGAGAGCCACAAAGCAAGGAAAGCACUGGAAGAUGAGUUGGGUAUGGUCCUGUCCAUGGUAACACUCUCACUUUUUUUUUUUUACUUUAAAAGCAAUGGAAACAAUUGAAGCCCUCUUUUAAACUCUCUCUCUCUCUCUCUCUCUCUCUCUCUCGUGUGUAUGUGAAAUGAGAGAGAGUGGGUGGAUUGAUUCUCAUUAUUAGAUUUUCAGAUUUGCAUUUCAAAAAUAUCCUGGCUGUGAUGUGGAAAAUCAAUUUGAAUAGGGCACAUAUAGAUGUGCUCAAUGAAUAUGGAACUAUUUCAGUAAUGCAGGUGAGAGGUAGUGAGAGCUAAAAACUGGACAGUGGCAGAGAUGGAAAUGGAAAGAAGGGAAGUCAUAAAAAUGGACAAAAUUUCAAGACAGAAUGUAUUUGGGGGAUUAGGAGGAGAGAAGUAGCAAGGUGCCUAUAUUUCAAAUAUGCAUAAUUGAAGUAAUGGUGGUAUUGUUCACUGAGAAUUAUAUCACCAGAAAAAGCUCCCCUAUCUCAGAUUGUGUGUGUGUGUGUGUGUGUGUGUGUGUAAGCAGAUCAGAGACAGCAUAAGAAUGGUAAUGGAUACAGUGAAUUUGAAACAAGCAGAAAUUAGAUUGGAAUCAGCUGAUGAGCAGUCCCAUCUAAAUUUACAUGGUUUUGAGUCAUCAUUACAUAGGCAGUAAUUGAAACAGAGGUGUAGAUGAGAUUGCAGAGAGAAAGUGCAGCAUGAGAAAAGACAAGGCAAAGGCUUGCCCCCUGAGGAUCUCUAACAUUUAAGGAUCAGGUAGAUGAUAAUGAGUGUUAAAAACAAGGCACCAGCAAAGUAGCAGAAAAAGUAGCAGAUUAUUUUGUAACCCAGGUCUAGAGAAAAAAAGUUUCAAAUAUCCACAAUGACAAGCAUACAAUAAGAAAUUACUAGACAUAUGAAUUAGUAACAAAAUGUGACCUAGGGAGGAAAAAACAGGAAAUAGAAAUAAACCCAAGGAUGUUGGGAUUAGUAGACAAAGAUUUUAACACAGCCUUUAUGCAUAUAAGCUUAAAGGAAAAGCUAGAUAUAAUGAGUAGACAGAUAAACAACCUUAGUAGAGAAAGAAAAAUUAUCAUAGAGCACUUGCCUGGCAUGUGUGGUGCCCUGGAUUUGAUCUUCAGCACCAUGUUAAAAAAAAAUUAAAUGGAAAUUCUAUAACUGAAAAAAAAAUCUAAAAUGAAAAGCUCACUAGAUGAACUUAACAACAAAAUAGAUGCUGAGUUUGGGGGAAGAAAGAUCAGUGAACUUGAGGACAGAGAAGUAAUUGGAGUUGCCCAAAAAUGAAGACAGAGAGAUUAAGAUUAAAAUAAACUUAAAGAAAUGAAAAUUAUAUUUUUUCAUAUUUUAUGAAAAAUAUCAACAAAGAUCCAAGAAGUUUAAUGAACAUCAAAUAGAAACGGAAAAUAGCAGUGGCUGCCUGACUUGAAAUCUCUCUGCAUAAUUUUUUAGAAACCUCUAAAAUAAAUAGAAUAAUGAUGGAAAAUAGCACCAUGCCUUCAGCAUUACUAAGAAUCAGAGAAUCCUACAAGCUUCAAGUUAUCAGUAAGUAGAAGGAUGAACCCAAUACCAACAGCACUCCCUUUAGCCUAUUGCUUCCAGCCUAAGGAUGUGGAAAGGGGAGCAGGGAACACUAAAGGACUGUAUGAAAAAGAGCACCGGGUGUUAAGGACUUACGUGAAGCAUGGAUAGCCUCAAUAGAAAGUCCAACUUAAUAGAGAUAGGACAUGAUCUGGACUUGGUAGUUCACAACACCAGCUACAGGGAAAGGAACUGGAAAUGAGUGAGACCAGAUACAGCCACAGAGGAGAAGCGUGGCUUCCUGGGAGAAUGAGAAACAGGGAAGUGCUGGUAUUUCUUGGAGACAUAGCAGUGAAAAGGAGAAGACAAAAGACAUAGUAGUCCCUUUCCUUCUUCCUAUCAUGGCCAUUGAUGUUUUCCAUAAGAGAAUAUGCACAGAAAAGGGCAGAACUCAUAGGAGAUAAGGAACCCUAUAGGAGGAAUCCUCUCUACAAAAUGAAUAGAAUAACGUUAUCAUAUUCAAACAAAAUUGUUAUUUAAAAAUGAAUCAAGCUAAUUCAGCCAAAGAAAACAUUCCUUCUGACUUGCAAAACAAAAAAUCAAAAACCAAAAAACAUGAACUUGAAAACUGUGGUAUAAUAACUCCAACAAAAAUUAAUUUGACUCAAAGAAGAAUGUGGAGAUAUAUAAAAAGAAAACAUUGAAUCAGAAAUACAAAGGCCCAAUACAAAUGAACCAUUAGUGAAGGAAGAAAUAAAAUGAUAGAUGUUGAACUUAGGAUAUAAAAUAAAAAGACAAAGUCAUAUCAGAAAUGUAAAUUAAAUUGCAAGACCUAAGAAAGAAUACAUUUAAAUGAAAAUUUAAUAAAUGGCACUGAUGAAAAGGAGGAAGAUAAUCCAAUAGAGCAAGAAAUGAGAUAAAGAAGUUAAAAGGGUUGGAGGAAAGAUUGAAAGACAGGCCAAGGACGUCCAACUGGAGUCCUCGAGUGAGGGUUAUAAGGAAUCAAUUAAGAAUUGACUCCACAAAUGGAAGGAUUCACCUGGAGGACUGACCUGGAAUGAUCAUCUCAGAGAUAUCCUAGCAAAACUACUAGACUUCAAAAGAUAAAGAAAAGAAAAAUCCACAGGGCCUUGCUUUAGUCAUCUAUGUCACUGCUGUGACUAAAUGACCCAACCAGAACAACUACAGAGGAGGAAAAGUUUAUUUGGGGGCUCAGGGUUUCAGAGAUCUUAGUGCACAGAAGGCCUGCUCCAUUCCUCAGGGCUCAAGGUGAGGCUGAACAUCAUAGUGGAAGAGUGUGGCGGAGGGAAGCAGCUCACAACAUCAGGAAGCAGAGAGGGAGUUUCUACUCUCCAGAUUCAAAAUAUGUACCCCAAAGCCAUGCCCCCAAGCCCCACCUCCUCCAGCCACACCCUACCACUCAGUUAAUCCCUAAAAGGGAAUUAAUUUACUGAUUAGGUUAAGAUUCUCACAACCCAGUCAUUUCUCCUCUGAACCUUCUUGCAUAGUCUCACAUGGGAGCUUUUAAACCAGAACAAGCCUCCAGGAAAAAAAAAGGUGAAAAGCUUGAAAGAAGAGGAUUAGGUUGGCAUCAGAUUUCUCAGAAACAGUACGUAAACCAUGACAAGAAUGGAGCAGCAGCUGGGCCCAGAGGGACAUACCUGUGAUCCCAGAAACUUGGGAGGCUGAGGAAGGAAGAGCGCAAGUUCCAGGCCAGCCUCAGCAACUUAGCAAGACCCUCUCUCAAAAGAAAGACCAAAAGUGGUAAAGGGUCCCUGAGUUCAAUACCCAGGCAAAAAAAAAAAAGGAGUAGAGCAGCAUUUUCAAGAAACUUAGAAAAGAACAUGCCGACCAAGAACUUUAUAUCCAGUCAAGCUCUUCCUUAAUGGUUACUACAAAGGUAACCAUUAGGACAAUAUUAAAAUAUUUAAAAGCAGUUUUAAAUAUACAAGAACUCAGGAACACUGUGCACUUCUGCCCUUUCUGGGGAAUCCACUAGAGAACGAGCUUCAUUCAACUAAAAGGAGUCUGAGGAGACAGCAGCCAAAGCCCUGAGGGUGAGCAUUUUAUAUAUUUAACUGUGGAUUUAAGGCUAAUACAAGGUUGAAAACAUGGGUACAGGGAUGGAACAUAACAUGUGUGUUCUAACAGACUAGAAAUAAUACAAUUGUUAAAAUGGAAGGAAGGGACCAGAAAGGAAAACAUAGAAUAAUGUCAUCAUUCAUAUCUAUAUGUAGUUGUCAAAGAUACCAUGUCAGGUGGACAGAACAGAGAGUAAAGACUAAUUAAAAAAAAAAAAGCAAUUAGGAACACUAUAAAGGUAACACUAGGUCAACGUUAAAUAUUUUCCUAUAUGCCAAGAGAAGUUUCCUAAAAGGGAAAGGAGAUAUACAAUUAGAAAAAAAUGAGCUCAGAAAGUGUGACAUAAGGCACGCAGCAAUGACACCAUAAGAUAAUAUAUGGCAAAAUUGGACCCCCAAAGAGCAGUCAUAUCAGCAAAUAUGAAAAAGAUUAAUUAGUAGAAAAUAACUUUCACUUCCAUGAUGGAGUAACCCUCCUGCUGUUAGUUAUCAGAAUACUGGCUGAAAUAUACAAAAUCCAGGUUUUGACCUUGCACCACAGGCAGCAUGGGGGAGACAAGGCCCUGUGGUGCCCCUCUUCACUGCCUGGAGGCAGCUGACAGUUCCCAGCAAGGGAGGAGGAGCCUUUAUUAUUCGUAUUCUUGAUGAUUGACAUUCUGAUUGGUAUAAGGUGAAAUCUCAAUAUAGUUUUGACUUGCAUUUCCCUAAUUGCUAAUGAUGUUGAACAUGUUAAAAUAUAUUUCUUGGGGCUGGGGUUGUAGCUCAGUGGUAGCAUGUUUGCUUAGCACAUGUGAGGCACUGGGUUUGAUCCUCAGCAUCAUAUAAAAAUAAAUAAAAUAAAGGUAUUGAAUCCAUCUACAACUAAAAAAAUAUAAACAUAUAUGCACAUAUCUUGGCCAUUUGUAUUUCUUCUCUUGAGAAGUGUCUGUUUAAUUUGUCAGCCUAUUUAUUAAUUGGGUUAUUUGAUUUUUUGACAUAAAGUUUUUUGAGUAUUUUAUAUAUUCUAGAUAUUAAUCCUCUGUCAAAAGAGUAGCUAGAAAAGAUUUUCUCCCAUUAUGAAGUUUUUCUCUUCACAUUCCUACAGAAGCUUUUUAAUUUGAUGUCAUUCCAUUUAUUAACUCCUGGCAUUAUUUCCUGAGCUUUAGGGGUCCCAUUGACAAUGUUGUUGCUUGUGCCUAAAAGCUGGAGUGUUGACCUACAUAUUCUUGUAGAGUUGCUUAGUUUCUAAUCUAAUCCCUAGGUCUCUGAUCCAUUUUGAGUUGAUUUUCGUGCAGGGUGAGAGAUAAGGGUCAAGUUUUAUUCUUCUACAUAUGAAUGACCAAUUUUCCUAACAUCAUUUGUUUAAAAGGUUGUCUUUUUCCCAUUGUAUGUUUUUGGCACCUUUGUCAAGGAUCAGAUGACUGCAGAUGUGUGGGUUUGUCUCUGUGUCUUCUCUUCUAUACCAUUGAUCUAUGUGUCUGUUUUUAUUUCCAUACCAUAAAGAUUUUGUUACUGUAGCUCUGUAGUAUAAUUUGAAAUCAGGUAUGGUGAUGAUUCCAGCAUUGCUUCUUUUGGCUUAGAAUUGUUUUGGCUAUUCUAGGCCUUUUAUUCUUCCAAAUGAAUUUUGGGACUGUUUGUCUAGUUCUGUGAAGAGUGGGGGUUGCAUUGAAUCUGCAUAUUGCUUUUGGUAGUAUGGCCAUUUUAGCAAUAUUAAUUCUGCCUCUCCAUGAACAUAGUGGUCUUUCCAUCUUCUGAGGUUUUCUUCAAUUUCUUUCUUCAAUAUUCUAUAGCUUUCAUUAUACAGGUCUUUCACCUCCUUUGAAUGCAUUCUCUCAUAAUGUGUUUGUGUGCCAAAAGAAAGUGGCAUCAUGGACAGGUAUUUGCUUUUCAAAAAAUACAGAGACCUCCUGAAGAAUAAUUUAGGGUAACUAAACAUAACUGUGAAUCCUAAGGGCUAAGGAAAGAAAAAAAGUUAGAAUGCCACCAAGAUCAUGUGGAAGCUCAUCCCCAGGGAACCUCCAUAGGACAGGAGGAUUUUCACCUGUCCCUCUCCUUCACCUUCCUUGCAGAUUUCUGAAAAAAUAACCACAGCCCCCAUAUCUCCAAUGUAAUUGGUCUUAAACCAAAGUGGUUGCAUUUUUUUUUAAAAGGAAGGAAAACUUAUUUGGCCAUGCCAUUAUAAAGAACAUUUAGAAAAAGAGGUUUCAAGAUGAAAUUCUGCCCCAAACAAAAGAGUUGAAUUUUCAGUCAAUUUUAUACAAAACAGGAAAAUUACAUGAAAAUGGUAGGCUCCCACACAGCAAGAGUUUAACUUAGAAAAUUAAAACCUUCCUGGGAAACAACUUGUUUUUUGCUUACACAACAGAUGAAUAGAUCUAAUAGCACACCAGUUCUAGAUGAGGGCUUAUGUGGAAUACUGAUAGCAGCUAUUUUAUACUGACCAUCUACUAUGUCUAGCUGCCCGUUAGUCACUUUAUAGCAAGCCUGCACAGCAACUGUGAGAAGCAGGCAUUAUUUUUAUAGAUGAGCAAAUUCAGACUCAUUGAUGCUAACAAUUAGCAGUAGGUCACUUUGUUACAAGUGGCAGAACAAGAUCUAAGUGUAAGUGUGUUUGAUCCCAAGGCAAUGCAUCUUUGCCACCUUGUUUCUGUCUUCAUCUCAUUGCUUCAUAGCCUAGAAUAAUGGCCAUUUUUGAGCUAUUCCUCUCAAAUAUGGAAUUCAUAAGCAGUGAGUGAAAUUGUAAAUUUGCCUGUAGUCAAGUCUAUGGAAGAAAUUAGUCAGUCUGCUCUGAAAAAUAAAAUUUCCAGGAGAGCUAAAGUCCUUUCGCUUUCCUCUUUCCCAACUACCCAUCAAAUGAGACUGCAAGUGGAGAGUUGGAAGGGACAGCAGCUGAGUUACCUGAAGUCCCCAUCAGUAAUUGCAGGCUUGACAGCUGCAGUACAAUGAGAAAUGGAAAAGAUCAUCCUUGGCUCUGACAGUUCCCUGCCACCUUGACAAGUGGUGUGAAUAAGAUCUGAGGCAGUUUGGAAGGGGCUCUUCUCCCACAACUUGGACAGUAGAGAUUGGGAAGGUUGUAGGACCCCAGCAGGAAGACCAGCCAGCCCAAGUUACAGAAUACAGCUCCAUUCUGCCAUCCAAAUAUUUUAGGGAUGUCAUAUCCAGGGAAUCCUUAAGGAUACUUAAGAGUAUACCCUGAAGACAUUUCCCUACCACAGACCUCUGAUUUCCUUUGAUUUCUUGAUGUUAUUAUACAAAGAGAAUUUAAACAUCUCUGAGAGUAAAUGGCACACUUAAAAAAAUUAUUUUCACCUAAAAUCCCAGGUUGCCUUGAAAAUUAAGAGAAUGGAACAGAAGGUAUUAGAAGGCUGAUCUUCAAAAGAGGCUUGACAGUUGUAUCAUUGGAAGGACUUUGGGGAACUCUAAAUGCUAUAUUGGCUCUCAACAGCCAAAUCUCUGCUAUGGUGAACUGCAUUUCUUUGAGCUCAUCUGCCUGAAAUCUUGAGAUCCUUAGUCUGUGAGAAUCUGCUCAGUCCUAAAGGCAGAUUGCCACUUUUGACUCUUGCAUGCUGAUAUUGCCUUGAUGAACCCCAGAUCCUCAGCUAGAGAGGCCUCAGAACUGAUGGACAUCUCUUUAACACACAGUGUGCACAUGCUGAACUCUGAGGCCUCUCUGCACCUUCCUGGCUUCUACCCAGCCCCUACGGAGGCCUCAAUAUGUGUGCCACAAACCAGACAGGUCCCAAGAGUUUGGCAAAGCGUCCCCCACACAGUAACUUUUGCGUCAUUCGUGCCUGCCUACGCCCCCCACACCCAGCAUCUGCAAUGUCUUGGAGCAGAUGAACUACUGUUUCUUACAUAUUCAUAGUCAGGCUGAAUUCAUGGACUGAGAAAACAUAUUUUAUGUGUUUUCCAAUGUUCCCACUGGAUGGUUUAGCAGUCUCCUGCUGCAGCCGUUUACAUAUUCUGUUAUCCGGAGGGUAGCCAGCCAGUGGAAGGAUGGGACAAUACAUUGCUGUCCCUGGGCUCAGCACAAACAGUGCUUUAAAUAUAAAUGAUGAGCUUUAAGAGUGAACUUAGAGGGUAAUUUCCAACCUCUUUCAUCUUUCCUCUAACACUACAAAGACUCAUUGUAUUUUUAUUCGUCUUUUGGCAUCGUUCAUAUACUGAUACCACACUGUGUCUUUGGGAACCCAGGACUACUUGCCUGGAUUCUAUUUCUUCAACUUGUUUGGAAAUGGAAACAUAAUGGGAGAGCACUCUCAGUUCUUUAUAACCUUAACCUCAGUUUCAGGAUCUUCCCUGUAAUAUAGCCAUCCUUUAGUAUUCAGGGACCCCCUGUGGAUACCAAUAUCUGCAUAUACUCAAGUCCCUUACAUAAAAUGGUGUAAUAUUGACAUGUAACCCAUGUCCAUCGUCUCAUAUUAAAUCAUCUCUAGUUUGUUUAUAAUUCCUAAUAUAAUGUAAAUUCUAGGUAGUUGAUAUACUUUAUUGUUUAGAGAGUAUUGCCAAGAAAUAAAAGUUUGUAUAUAUUUAGUACAGGUGCAAUAUUUUUCAAAUAUGUUUAGUCCAUGGCUGAUUGAAUGUCUCUGUGAAUGUGGAAUUGGGCCAACCAGAAUAAUAAAAAGACUAAGCAGAAAUUUGCUAAGCAGAAAUUUUAGAACAUGGUAGCUUCAAGGGCAUCCUGUAAAAGAUAAGCUGACCUGCAUGUUGGCUAUUAUUAUUACUCUUCUAAACUUAGGUAAGCCUCUGGAAGAGAGGUCCUAAACAGGAGGAUGUACCACCAGCCCAGGUGGGCACAGUCUCAAUGAAGUGAGGUGAACAAAUUACAGAUCUCCUGGAGACAAGUGAGUAGAGCCAAGGUCAGGCUGAUUGAAGGAAAGGCGUGGAGAAAGGAAAGUUCUCUGUUUACCAUGAUGCCAAGAUUAUGUUUCUGCUUCUGAACAUAUGAGGGAGAAGCUCAUAUGUUUUCUUUUUUAGAGAACAAUAAUGUACAUCUGGUGACAGUUAAGAAGCAUGGUAGUUCAAAGUUAUUGACCAGAGCCAUCUCAUGCUCUUUCUCUUGUGCUAGCUGAUGCUAAGCUUUCAACAAGUCCCAUCCCAGAGCCAGAGGCCCCAUCCUGGUAGGUAACUGUGGGCCCCAUGUUUCAAGCAAGAGAACUUUAGAUACUAUGUUCUGUUCUUGUGACAAUCUGAAGUUGAAGGCUCUAGACAACACCUAGUAUCCACCCGCUAACAUUGCAAUAGUCUUUAUCUCCCCAGAGCCCACAUGGAGCUCAUGCCCAAGACCUUCCUGGGAACUGGGAAUGAACACCGACACAAGGAAUUUAAGAGGCAUAUAAGAGUAGAUGUGUGAAGUUUUCCUUCCCUUAUUUUCUGGACCAGUGUUCAAUUAUGGAACUCUAGUUCCUAAUGGACUUGGUUCUCAUAGGAGUCAAGCAAACAGGCCUGUACAUCAAGCCCAAGACGGGCCAUACCCAUGCAAUCACAUUUUGUUUAAUGGCUGCUAGCAAGUAGCACAGUUGAGUAGCUGGUUACAGAAAACAGAUUUCUUUUCUCAGAAGUCAACUUCUUUAGACUACAUUCUCUUUAUUGAUUCUAUAAAGAGAAUUCAGGAAGCAGCUCUUAGAUCCAAUUUUUCCUGCUUAUUGCUAUCCCUGCUCUCCCUUAGCCACGUGAAAAGAAUAAUUUGCAGUAGGAAGGAAAAACAGAAACGGAUCAGAACAGCCUUUCUACAUCUUUGCUAUCCUCUCUAAUGGUGGCCUGCAUGGUGAUGAGUGGGCCAGACUAAACACCAUGUCUCCAAGGGUCCUCUUGGCCAUGGUUGUUGGAAUAUUAUUCAUUCUUCUCUAUCUGUAGCUCAGCCUUUUCUUCACUCCCUGACUCCCACUUUUAGAUCAGAUGUUGUCUGGGUGCUGGACCCAGGAGAUCCUGUGAGCUCAUCCUGGCAGCCAUCUGAAGUCAUGUGUAGAAGAGCUGAAUGAAGAAAGAUAUGGAGCAGAUGCUCAAAGACAAAGACAGCCGAGAAAUAGGGAGAAAGAAAAGCUGCUUCUGUGAACUCUAGCUCUCAGCUAGUUUCAUGUGUAAUUCUCCAAGCUGGUUCAUAGCAUUCCUUACAUGUGCAAGUAAUCUUCACUUAAGUUAGUUUGAGUGGGUUUCUGGUCCUAGAACUGAAUGCACCCCAACUCCAAGAUGAAGUGGCUGGAAUAGAGAUGCAAAGUGGAGAGCAAUAAGGGAGGCAGAAGGACUUUUCUGAAGCAAGUAAAUCUUAAAGAGUCCAAGUACAUGCACAAUGUUCACACAUUCCAAGUUUUGUGAGACAGCCAUCCUGGCUUCAAGUAUGUCAGCUUUCUCAAAUUACUAUUUAGACAAGCAUGUUAUUUAAAUGCAUAAACUUAGCAUUGGGAAAGGCCUUCCUUAAUAAGACAUGAGCCUGGAAUCCAUCAGGAAAAUAAUAGAUGGGCAGAUGAGACUAAUCACUCCUAAAUUUUAAAUUGCCUUUAGUGAAAGACACUGUGAACAAAAUUAAGAGUGAAGGGACCUUUUGGAUAUAAGUAACAGCUGGGGAUCCCUUGCAUAAUAUAAACUCCCUCCUGCUACAGACCAGGUACUCCUUCAAGGCCAUUACCCAGGCCCAGCCCUGGCUUCCUGGCUGCCAUGUCUACUGAGAGUGUCACAACUGUUGGCAACAAGACCAUGACCUCUUGCUGUCCCAAAAUGAGGAAAUGAAAGGGAAGAAAGAGGAAAUAGGCUGGAAUGAAAAAUGAAUGAGAACCAAAGAGGGAACAAGAGAUGUUGAGAAAGAUGAAAUAAAUGAGCUGUUCAUCUCAGUUUCUGAGCUCUCCUUUGUGCCACCCUAGUGUUGCACUAAUUAAUUUAAGCUGUUAUUGUUUUACUCAGGGACUUGUAAAAAAGGGUUGUGGGACCAAAAUUAAGUGAGUAGUCAUAGUGGUGGUUCAGAAUUCCAACCCAUUCCCUCUGACCCCAAGCCAUGUUUGGGCAAAUUCAACAAUCCAUGCAUCAACCUAAGGCUUCUGAAUGGAUUUUUGAAGUCUAACAUUUCCUUCCAAUAUUUAACCUUUCCUUUUCCCCAAAACAAAUUUCCCUUUAUUUUUACCACCCACUUGAGUGGAGAAUUGAAAUUAAGUUUCUUUUACUUAAUAGCUUGCCAAACAAUAAACAGCUCUCUCAAACUAAGCCACCUCUUAUCUAGGGAGAGGGCAAUAAAAAUAGUGAUUUAUGUAGUCAAGAGUACAGUGAGACAUUUUUAUAGCAUUGCAGAUGGGCUUCCAAAUUGCAGAGCAGAUUUAUUUCUUUCUGUAUAUCUCAAUUUCUCAGCCCAUAAUUUGAAAAUAAUAACAGCUGCCCCUUUCCUACUUCUCCAGUGAUUUGGUUAGAUCAUGAGGGUUUAUAUACGAAAGCAUUUUGAAUCUUAGAAGAGUCAAAUGAUGAAAUCAUCCCAUUUAUUAUCAUAUAGAAAAGUAAUAUAAUGAGUAUAAUUAGGCAUAUAAUGAUGUUUAUGGGGUACUGAUUUGGCCUGGAGAACACUGGACUCCAUGCAGUAUGAAUCAAGUUGAUUAAGGGGACACAAAUGGAGUAUCACAAUUUUGUAUAUAUCUUUGAUUACUCUAGAGUAACCAUUAGAAGCAUGUAAAAGGGUGGGAUGUUUAGAGAAAUGAGAUCUGCAACUAUGCCUUAUUCCUCCUGCAAGUUUUUAAAACAAAACUGCUUGAGUUAGGAAUCCUUUUCUGGCUUCAUUAGCAGCCCUGGUUCUGCACGGCCUCUAUUCCAACUUUAGCCCCAGGUGAACAUUAGAUCUAUUCUUAGCACACUUCUGGGCCCUUGCUCUUCUAUCUAAGCCAGGGGCGCCCCAUCCUUGAGAUCUGACAACCCAGAUUAGAGGCGCACUAUACAGUGUUGAGAAUGGGGGCCUUGGAGACCUGGUUGUGGUUCUCAGCUCUGCUCUCUGGUCUGAAAUCUUUCCACAUCUGUAAAAUGGACAUGAUGAUACAUACCUACUCAUAGGGCUUUUAGGACAAUUAAAAGAGGCAGAGUUCAUAGAGCACUUAGCAUCCUGCCUGGUAUAUCAAAUGGUGAUUCCAAUUUUUAUUGACAUAUUGUGAAAAGCAUGGUGGAUGGGCCGGGUAGAAUAAUUGGAUCAGUGAUUCUUCCAGGGAGUUCAAUAUUUUACUUUGCUUUUAGUUAUUUACUUUUCUUGCAGAAAAUUCUUUUUAAAAUUAUGACCAAAUAAAAUCAUUACUUAUGCUAUUAUAAUUUAAAUGGCUGAAUGAAUACAACUUUGACGGUUUUAUCAAGUUUCUGAUUGUAAUAAAAAAAUCCUUUUCAUCGACUGGGAUUUCAGGGCAUUGCAUUGGAAAAUAGUUAUUAAGUUGAUAAUGGGUUGAGGGUCAUAUUAUAUAUCCUCUAAUAUCCAUUUCUACACUCUUAUAAUUACAUGAGCCUAUGUCCUUGAACUUAAGGCCAGCCAUAAAAUCCUACCUCCCAAUGUUCCCCAGAAAAUAACACAAAAAUUCAGUAUGUACUGCAUAUUGUCUAUUGAGGCAAUUGCUUUCCAUGCAUUCUCUCUUUCAGUCCUCAACCUUAAGAAGUAAGCAAUAUCUUUAGUCCCACUUUACAGAUACAGAAAUGGAAGCUUAGAGAAGUAAUUGCUGUAUGUCACAUAUCUAGGCAAUGAUGGAAUCAAAAUUUGAACCAAAGUCAUCUGGCCCAAGAGCACAUGCUUUAGCAACUUGCCAUGAUUUAUGCAUCAAAAUGUGGCCGCUGCAGGCCUUCACGGACUAGCCUUGAACUCUGGUGAGUAGCUUUGCCAUCUCACAGCAGCUGACAGGUUCACGUGAGGCCAAUAUCAACUGGUGCCAAGUCACCAGGUGUGGUAUCUGCUCUGAGUCUGUAGCUGGUAAGAAAAUCAAUGACACGUGGAAGAGAUGAAGAACGAUUCUAUUGGUUGGAAUGUGCAUGUGCAGAAUAUAUCUAGAUAUUUAAAAAUGUUCAAAGCCUAAAUUUUAACAAAUUCCAUGUGCAGAGAAAUGUCCAUAGUUAAUAUUUAAGUGGGAACAUACGGUAAUUAAUUCAUUCCUGACCAAUAAAAUGGUUAGAAUUUGCUCAGAAAUGACUUUUGUCAUAAAAUAGAAAUAAUCAGCAUUAAGCUUCUCAUAUACCUUAUUUGUUUCUUUUCUUGUUCCUUAAAUUCUCAAACAUUCCCUGUUUUUGCUUCUUCUCUCACUCUACUCCUUCAUAAGAAUGAAAGCAACUCAUUCAAAUGUGUUCUUUCCAUGGAUAGAGUUUACUUUACUCUCCUCCAUAACUGGCUAGGCCUAUUCCCUUUGGAUAAUAAUUUUGUUAUAAUAAUGUUGGAGAAAAGAGGGGUGCUGUUUCCUCUUAGAAAUUCAGCCUGUAUAACAUUCACCACCUCAUACAGGUUUUACAAGGCCUUGUUCCUUAAUAAGAGAGGUCUACACAGCUAAUGCCUGUUGAGUGAUCACUAGGUCCUAGGUCCUAAGUACAGUAAACUUGCUUACCCAAUUAAGGAUAUGAAAGAUUUGUUAGGUCUCUCUGACUGCAGAGCCUGUGCUUAUAACUACUGUGCUACCCUGUCUUUCUAGAAAAGGAUGGUUUCUGUGUAUUAUUUCAUGAUAAUUUUUUCCUGGGAGUGUAGACAGUCAUAGUAAGAACAUGGGAUGUCACCUGCUGUAGCUGUCAGAAGUGGAACAAGAUUGUGGCUGGGCUCUCCAUUCCUAGGACAAAGAGGAAUGAAGAUUCCAUUUAUAUAAACUGAAGGAGCAGAAAUAUUCAUGAUUUAGAGAGAAGAAUGUGACCAAUUAUGUGGAAUCCAACUGAAUUUUAGAGUUGAGCUAGGCUUUAGCAAUGAGCUCCUCAAACCACUUUCUUUGCAGUUGAGGAAGCCAAGGAUCUGGGGGAAUUAAGUGCAUUGUCUGAGGACACACAGCCAGUUAGUUAGAGGCAGAGCCAAGGCCGAAUAUUUUGGAUUUAAACUAAACUGCUUUUCUCAGUCCACCUUCAUUUUGCUUGGGGUUUGCUUGUUUUCAAAAGGUCUCAAAGAUUGGAAAAUUAAAUUGCUUUUAGCAGUACAAUUUCAUAUUAUAUAGUUCUGCUCAGAGUAAUUAUAAUAAUAAUCCAAGAGUUUUUCCAAAUCUGUGGGUUCCAAUGUUUCUGCCUGUUACUAAGCUAAUAUAUAGAAAUCCAGGGUCACAUUUAUACCACAUAAAAUUUCCAAAGAGCUAGGCAAUUUCCUGUAAAAACUCUGUUGAGUACUGAUUGCCAAGUUGAGAAAUUCGCAAUUUCCCAGCAACUCCCACUUUCUCGUGUUCCGGGGAAUGCAAACUUCUUAGCACACCACAUCUCCUGACUUAAUCUCCUCCACCAUCGGCCAUGACUCAAGUCCCACUGACCCGUUCGUUCUUGCUUUUAUUGCUUAUCUCUCUUUUGAACCUACAACUCCCCUGGAACUCUCAGCCUCUGAAUGACCCAUAUAUGAGGAACUCCUGAGAUGAAGCAUUCAUACUUCUCUCACACUAGACGUAGUUUUGGCCUAGAACCCAAGCAAAUUCAUUGCUGUUCCUGUGUAAGUCUUAAUCAGUCCUUUAAAUACCUUAAUUCCUCCUAGGUAAAAUGUUGACAACAAUCCCUACCUGCUUUAUCUUUCAGGGUUAUUCUGAAGAGUUUAAAAGUUAGAAUCUUGGAGACAGAAUCUUGUUGACAAUCUGGGCCUUGUGAACACUACAUAUUAGGGUGGAGAAAAUGGAGACCCAGUGUUUCUGUGAUUCCAUAAGCUCAUUGAGGUCCUUGAGGUCAUCCAGAUCCUGACCAGUGACAGAAUUAGGACUAAACUUUAGAUCUUUCACUACUCAGUGCUGCCUGUGAUAACAGAUACCAGAGCAUGCUUAAAAGUACAAAUCAUGACACAGAGGCAACCUGUAAUUAUUUAGGUGUUAGUUAAUAGAUUGUGUAUGCAGUCAGCACUAACGAAAAUUUUCUCAUGCCUUAUCAUGACUGUAGGCUGUCAGAAAUGUCUGCAGAUGGCAAAAUUUUGUUGGAAGGCAAAUUCUUUCUUUUCCAACAAAUACAAGGAAAAUAGGAACUGGACAUAUUUAAACUUAGCCUCCUUUAGCAGUCAUCUCGUCACUUUUUUUAUAAAAAUAAUUAUUGUGCUUUAUAAUUCAUAUAUCAAAGAAUUCCCUGCAUUAUGCACACAAUUCAGAGGAUUUUAGUGUGUUCCCGAGAUUGUAUGAGCCUUCCCACUUCCUAAUUUUAAACAUGCUCAUCAUCCUGUUGCUUUUUGAAUGUUCAUCUUAUCGGGUUGAGUGGAGUUUGGCUCUUAGUUCAAGCAUAUUUUGUCUGGUCUCUUGGGUAGAAUACAUCUUGGCUGAGAUCAGAUAUUCCAAGUUCCCUCUACACUUGGAGAGUUCGGGGUCUAUUAAACAUUGGACUCCUUUGGGAAUGAGCCAGGUGUCAGGAUGGGACAGGCACUAAGCCUCAACAUUAGCCUUAGCAACAAGAAUUGGAACCUGAAAAGUAAAACACAGCCAUUAGGACUGAUCUGCAGGGAGAAAAUGGGAGACAUUUUCCCAGGCCAGUGGUGAGUAGAACUGGAAGUGGGAAGAACUGCUGAUUUAAUGCUGAUAGUUUUCCUGGCUCAGGGACUUUGUGCCUGUGGAGUAAUCCUUCAACCUCACCAAACCCCAUUUUCACUUGGUCUGUUGUAAGCCUCCUAGGAUUCCUGAGAUCUACUCUACUAGAGUAGAUGCUUCAAUUUCCUGUAUCUUGCACCAAGCUCACCCUUGCAGGCCGUGAUUACCCCCAAGCUUCUUUGAGUUCUCAGUAGAUAGCAAGCUUAAAGGGAAGCAGCCCUGUCUUGUUUGGUGGCCCACCCAUCCUUCCCUCAGCGUCAUUUGGCAUCAUGCUCAAUAAAGAUUUCUUGAGCAAAUUAAAAUUUGUCCACAUGCUCAGAAUUCUCUUUAUAUAUCCCUUAAAUAAUCAAACUAAAAUUGACUGCUGAGACUGUACCCAAGCAUCCCAUAGUUCUUCACAAAAUCAUAAUGAUUCUGGGUCAAAACUACUUUCUAAUAGCGUUCACCUAAUACCCCAAAUUUUGCUCCAGAGAUCAAGAGAGAAGUAAGUCUCUGCCUUCUUCUCCAUAAUACUUUCAAGUAUUUUAAAUGAGCUGUCAUGUCCUCUGUAUCUUUUUUCCUCUGGGUUAAACCAGUCUUACUUCCUUUAGUAGUUAGGCAUAAAAUAUGAAUUCCAUAAUCAUUCAUUCAUUCAACAAAUAUUUUUAAGCACGUUCUGUAUGUAAGGCACUGGGCCAGGUGCCCCUGGACAGAAAGGACAUGACACAGACUCUGCCCUGUAGGUGUGUAUGUUCUAUUCUAGUUGUGCUAUCCCUAUUCUCUGGGCUUUCUCUAAUUGGCCAAUGUCCCUUUCCAAAUGUGGUUUAUAGAACUUAAUAUUUGAUCACAAGUGGUCUGACCAGCACAGAAUUCACAAGAACUAUGACUCAUGAUAUGGACCUUGUGCUUCCAAGAAUUUUUGAUCAUUCAUAUUAUCCUUAAGAAAUGUUCAGGUACUUUCUCUCUCUUUCUCUCUCUCUCUCUCUCUCUCUCUCUCUCUCUUCUCUCUCUCCUGCUCUCUCAGAUAUAAGAAGAUGUUUUGUUAAAAUUUUGUCUGUUCUUUGUGAUUAAACUAAAUGUGUGGUAGUAUUUCUGGUGAUAAAAGUUCUAGUCAAAUGAUCCUUAUCCUGAGCCUCCCCUUUUCCUAGUACAUAAAAAACCCUUGAAAGGAAGCAGACUGUAAUCUUUGUAUCAGACUGAAAUCAUAAGGAUGGGUGGAUUUAAAAAAAAUAACAAGCCAGAACAUUUCACACUGUCACUAAUGGUUCUUUAUGAUGUUUCUGAAAAUAAUUGGAGGGGAAGCGUGGACAUCUGGCAUGUGAAUAAAGCUGUUUCUAAUUAUGGUGGGCUGUUUGUCUUCAAAGCAGAGUGGACACUGGGAUAUCCUUGGAUGUGUUCUUUAAUGGUAUUGCUCAGAACCUGGCCGCCCCCAACCUUCACCUAUCUGAAACACUUGGGGUGUGCCUCCCCUUGUCUUCACUCUGACCCAAAUAAGUUUGGUCCUUAAAUUCAUUCAGGCUUUGGGUUUUUACUUUGGGGUUUUGCUUUGAAGCUGGAAAUGUGAAUUUUUUUGGUCAUGCUGUUUCCUGGGUACUUUCCAUAUGUGCAGAAGACAGAAUAAUCAGGGUCCAGAGGUCAACCGAAGAGAAAGUACUUCUCAUUAGUGACAACUAGAGUAAUGUGGGAGAGUGAUGCCAGACUUGGGUGGUCAAGACACCCAGGAAUGAUUCCAGAAAAAGCAGACUGUGUGAGAGUCAUUCUGUUUUUUACGCUGAAUGUUACUUGGAGAAGGCAUUGUGCUGAGUAUUCACAAAUUGGUAAUUUCGCUGUUCAAUAUUUUCAAAUAAUUUUUCUUGGCCUACCAUCUCUUUAUUUAACCAAUAUGUAUUAGGUACCCAACAAGAACUUUAACCCUCAGAAACAAACUAUUUUCAAAGGUAUUAUCUUAAGAAGAAUCUGUAGCUUUCCAUUCUCCACAUGGUCCCCAAAGCACAUGUUGGGUCUCACCAUGGAUACCAUGACCACUUGUGGAGGGCAGUUGAGAGCAGGAAGUUUGGAAGCCUCCCAAGGGGAGCUUCUUGUUCUAGUAUUCCCUCAGGGUGGAGGACAGGGUUAGCAGGCUGCUCUUGUGACCUCCCACUUUGCAAAAGUCUCUUCUGGAACUCCAUGGUUCCUAUGGGAAUGUCUGAAAAUCAGUGUUCCUAAUGAAAAGGAAUUAUCUAAUCUUAAUUUUUUUUUUUUGUACCAGGGACUGAACUCAGGAGCACUCGACCACUGAGCCACAUCCCCAGCCCUAUUUUGUAUUUUAUUUAGAGAUAGGGUCUCACUGAGUUACUUAGUGCCUCGCUCUUUGCUGAGGCUGGCUUUGAACUCACUAUUCUCCGGCCUCAGCCUCUCAAGCCACUGGGAUUAUAAGCAUGGGCCACCACAACUGGCUUAAAAUUAUUUUUUAAGCAGACCUUUUCUUCUGACUACGUACUCACCAAAGAAAUUCUCCAUUACAUAUUUUCAUCAGAGAAAUUAAGAAAAUAAAGAUAAACACAAUAUAGGAAAUUAAAAUUAUCUGCAAUUCUGCCAUUCCCCUGAAUGGUAAAAUGGUAAUUAUUUUUAACUACUGGUAAAAUGUUUGUGUGUAUAUCUUUUAACCUAUCUAUAUCUGGUUUUUAAAUAUUUAUUUAUUUUUUAGUUGUAGAUGGACACAAUACCUUUAUUUAGUUAUUUAUUUUUAUGUGGUGCUGAGGAUCAAACCCAGGGCCUCACACAUGCUAGGCGAGUGCUCUACCUCUGAACCACAACCCCAGCCCUAUAUCUGUUUUUUUAUAAUUGUUUUAUAACCCACUUUGAAUGUAAUAAUAUUAUGAACAUUUUCCAGGUGCUAAUUUUUCUUGUACAAUAUAAUUAUAACAGCUGCAUAAUAAUUCAUUACAAACAUGCACCAAUAUUGACUUAACAAAUUGCAUAUUAUUGUACUUUCAGGAUGUUCUCAUUUUUCACAAACACUUUUAUAUCCAUAUAGAUGUACAGAGACAAAAAUGUUUAUCCUCAUACACAUAUGCAUGUACAUAUGUCUCUAGUAUUUUUGUCUAUAACUCUUUAUACCCAUUCAUUAUUAUUUCCUUAUCAAAAUCUCUUGAAGUGGACUUUAAGAUAAGCCUAAAAUUUAAGCUGUUUGAAAUGUAUAUAGGUAAAUUCUAGGUUCCAAGUAGUAAGGUCUGUGUCCCAAGUUCUAACCCAACUGUGUGACAUUGAGCUAGUUAAUGACUUUGUUAAAUGGGUGACAAGGUCAUAUACUCCAUUUAUUUUAAAAGAUCAUUCUGAAAAGAAUGUUGUAAGACUUUUGAAAUACAGCAUGUGAUAGGCACAGAUGAUUGUUUGCCUAGCAGUCUUCAUCAUUCCAAUAAACCAUUUUUUUUUUUUUUGGUAUUCACCUUUUCUCCAUUUCAGUCCCUAUACCUCUAGGGUAGGCCUAAAUCAUCUAUGCAUAAUCUCAUCAUCCUGCCAGUGAUAGGUUCAGAAGUAAACAUAUAAAUCAGUUCAGUUUAAUGAAAUUCAAGAAGUUUUCUGGGGCAUCUGGAAAAUCCCCCACUCUUAGAGAAGAAGAAGGUCCCUCUCCCUGGACAUUGUCAUUUAUAAAGAUCAAGCUUGGCCAUAUCAUUGCAAUAGCCAUAUUACCCCCAGCCUGAGAUUAAACCAAACACAGACAAGACAAAGCCAAGAAUCACGAAGGAAGGAAUGUGACUGGAAUGAACCACUGGGUUGCCAAACCGGAAGCUUGCCUUGUCUCUAAACACCCAGCCGUCAGACCCAAUUCUGAUGUCAUAUAUUCUCAGAAUCAGCAUUAUCUUAUAACUCUGGUUUUGAUCAUCAUUGUUUUCAUUUUCUUUCUUUCUUUUUUUUUUUUUUGUGGUGCUGGGGAUUGAACCCAGGGCCUUGUGCAUGCUAGGCAAGCACUCUACCAACUGAGCUAUAUCCCCAGCCCUCAUUUUCUUUCUUAAUUACAAGGAAUGCAUUUUUAGUCUCUUAUAGACUUCUCCUGUUAACAGUUUGUAUGCAUUCCUUUCCCAAUUUUCAAAAAAAGAAAAAGAAAAAAAAAAAGACUCAGGGGAACAUUUAAGUGAAAAGGAUAGUGCUUAUGUCAACAAUCCAGAAAUGACUCAUUUAAAUCUAGUGAACUAAAAGAGCCCAAACCAGACCUACCAAUUUGGUCUUAGAUAAGAAGAUGUUUCAAGUUGGAAGGAACAUACCAACUCAACAAUCCUGAUCCCAUUUUGUAAAUGAGGAAACUGAGGUUCCGAAAGACAUGAUGACUUACUACAACACCCUUGUCAGCUGGGCGUUCCCCGGGCAGCAGCUGCAGGACUGUAACCUGGCACUUCACUCUGACUCCUGCCAGUGGGGAGAUGUCAGACAAGAUAUAUCAUAACUGAUUCUGUGAACUCUUGGUUUCCUUAUAAAUCAAAGCUCUCCAAACUGUAGCAAGAAAGCAAAGAGCAAUGUUCUUGUCCACCACACUGGAAUCCAGGCUUCUUUUAGUUCUCCCUACUGAUUCUUUCUGGAAGUCCCUGGGAAGAUGUUUCACAAAUAACCCAGAUCUCUUCCUGGAGGGUCUCUGUUCUUGGUUGACACCUCUUGCUGCCCUUCCGCUACUUUGACUGUUAUUUCCUUGCAGUCCUGGGUCACAUUUCAUGCUUCAGCCAAAACUCUCCCUGAAUCCAUCUCCAUUUGACCUCUGGGUCAUUGCCCAUGUUCCUUCUGGCCAUCUCUGUGUUGUUAACUAUUUCCAUUCUUCUCUCUCUCUAGUACUGGAGGCCAGAGAACAACACCCCAAAGCAUGGCACUGUGGUAUGCUGAGGACUUCUGAACUGGAGGAUAUUGGCAGGGCCUUAGAAGCAGAGUCUCCUUCUGCCCUUCUUUCUCCUACUCUUCCUUAUUCCCGAGGCAGACCACAGAAAUGUAAGUCUCUCUUCCUCCAACCCAGCCACAAAACCUAGAAAUAUUGCUCUAACCUUCCCCUGCCUUUCUGUGAAAGAGGUGGACAUAAAGAAAUCCCCUGACAUUUUUUGAUAGUAGAUCAUAAGCUCCUCCCUCCAGAAAGGAUCCUGUCCUGUACCAGGAAGGAAGAAAUGAAUACCACAUGGAGAGGCCAUGAAAAAUCUGAACAGACAGGCCCUGCUGGGUUUCCCUCCCUCACUCUAUUACCAUGAGAUCAUAACCUUUUUCAGUCACAUUCCCAUAUGGCUGCCACUCUUCAUCAAAUCUAAGCAUGAAAACGAAUAGUUUUCUCUGGGUCUUUGGAUCUUCAUUUCUGAUGACUCCUGUGUCAUAUAAAGCUUAGAUUAAAUAAAUUAGUUAUGUUAACCUGUCUUUGGUUAUAGGAAGGUAAGUUCCCACCCUUAUGAUGGAUGAAAAAAGGUAACACUCCUUUCAGCCCUGACACCACCCAGCAAGACAACUCUCAUUUUCAUGGCUGCUGAUUCUGAGGUGGUUCAAAGGAGACCAAGACUCCCAGUGGGCAAUUCUUUGCUUCCUUAGCCAGCAGGCUCCUCUCUGGAGAUCAUUUGGCCACGGCUGGCUCUUACACAGCAUUACGUGGUAUGUAGGAACCCACCUCUUCCCAACAUUUGUCCUGGCUUUCCAUCUGCUCUGCCUAGCUCUUUCUUCACAUGGGGGUGUUUCUUAGAAAUCUUAUUUCCAAGUUAUCAGGUAGAACUAGAGCAGGAGUUCUUCAUCUAUGAUGAACUUCAGGGUGAGGAUAUGGCAUCCUCGAACCUUUUUAAAUUGUAUUCAAGGUUUUCUAUAAAAUAACAUUUUUUAUGAGAUAAAAGUCUCUAAAUUUUAUCAGAGGGUCAAAGGGGUCUGUGAGCCUCUAAUUGUUAAGAACCACUAUUUUCUAGAUGGUCUCUGAACUAUUCAGUCUCUAAAACUCUUUUAAGUUCCAAUGUUCUGUGACCCUGAGUGAGAUUCAGUAAUAUAGUCCUGUAGUAAAUUUACCAAAAGCAAAACCUUCACUCACUCUCCAAAACCACUCUAUUACAUUCCUGAGUCCAAAGGUGUUUGAAAGAGUAGCGUUUUAGCCUUAUUACAUGGACAUGAACAUGUUCUUUUAAGAGAAUAACAAAGGAUUAAGCAAUGAUUUUUUUUUAUCAGCAGUGUAACUCAUAUUCUACCCCAUAACAGGACUAUUUAUUUUAACUUAAAGUACUUACAAAUGUUGAGAGAUCUUUUGUUGAUAGGAGCAAGAUUUGGGAAGCCAUAUUGAGUGGAGGAAUGGUGAAAAGGAAUGGUGCUUGGAAUUCCUACCUCCCUCUCCAGAUGCUCUUUCUGUUCAAGCACUGGGAGGCAUGGGGAAUCUGGCAAAGCUCACUUCUCCUCUGUGAGGACUGUUGUUCCACAGUUGGCCCCUAGAAGUCGUUCUAGUGUUAGCAAGGAGCGUGGGAACCAAAUCGCAUGGAAGUCAGUGGUGAUUAAUGAUUAAAACUGUCAAGUGGUCAAGUGGUAAGAAGUGAAAUAUGGGAAAUUUUAAACCACAGUUGCAAGACAGAAUUGGAAAAGUAACACAAAAUCUUCCUAUAUCACUUAUGAUGAAACUUGUGCUAGCAUUAGUCUAGUAUUAAAAACAUGAUUUAAGAGUGAUAUUUAGAGGGACUUGUCAGUUGUAGCAGAACAUUUUAAUUGUAGUAAAAUACAGACAACAUAAAAUUUGCCUUCCUAACCAUUUUACGAAUGUGAAGUGCACUUUUUUAAAAAAAUAAAACUGUAUAGUCCAGAACUGAUAAGUGCAUUCUCAUUAUGGUGUAACUGAAAGAGGGAAAAAUUCUGAGAUGUUUUAAAUUUCAUUCCAGACCAGAGGAUGGAGGAGAAAAGAAAGAAACUAUUCACUUAACAACUGUGAACCAAGCCCCAAACCAAACAAAUACACAACACCAAAGACAAAAGCUGUUCCAUAUUCGUGAGCACAUGUAGAAUUCUCUGAUUUGAAGCUCCCGGAGGAUGACAUCUAGGUGCCAUGGCAUUCUGCUUAUAGCCCCAACCAUCCAGGAAGCAAAAAGGACUUCUCCUAGACCAUCACCAUCCACCAAACUCUGCCUGAUGCAUGUUGACCUGUCCCUGUUAUCUACAGUCAAUGCAGAUUCAGUGAAAGCAAUUUAUGCUUUCUUUUUCACAGAUUUUCCUUAUAAAAUGCUUUAAAAAAAAUCUGGCAGACAUUUUUCUAACUGCUACCUAUGUAGUUGGUGGCAUGGGGGAACUUUCCAUGGGAUCCAGCCUUUCUUUCUGGCUACAUUUGUGUAUGGCUGAAUAAAUCCUUUAAUUUCAGAGAUCUUUUGGUCUUUAGAAUUUUCAUUGAACACAACCAAUCUCCAGAACUCUCUUCAUCUUGCAAAAUGGAAGCUCUGUAUCCAUUAAACAAUAACUCUGCAUUCCCGCCUUCUCCAGUCCCGGGAAACCACUUUAUCCUUUCCAUCUCUGUGAAUUUGAC
This 23593-nucleotide long non-coding RNA is filed under the name Marmota monax (woodchuck). The record is from RNAcentral. Lineage: Eukaryota; Metazoa; Chordata; Mammalia; Rodentia; Sciuridae.